GACAGAGGGUGCAAACGUUGCUCGGAAUUACUGGGCGUAAAGCGCGUGUAGGCGGGCUGAUAAGUCGGACGUGAAAGCCCUGGGCUCAACCCAGGAACUGCAUCCGAAACUGUCAGUCUGGAGUGGUGGAGAGGGAAGCAGAAUUCCUGGUGUAGAGGUGAAAUUCGUAGAUAUCAGGAGGAACACCGGUGGCGAAGGCGGCUUCCUGGACACUAACUGACGCUGAGACGCGAAAGCGUGGGGAGCGAACAGG
RNAcentral lists this ribosomal RNA (253 nucleotides) under uncultured bacterium. RNAcentral's name for it is "partial 16S ribosomal RNA". It matches the Rfam family "Bacterial small subunit ribosomal RNA", at positions 524 to 776 of the family's 1533-position model. The record is from RNAcentral.